UGGGGAAUAUUGCACAAUGGGCGCAAGCCUGAUGCAGCCAUGCCGCGUGUGUGAAGAAGGCCUUCGGGUUGUAAAGCACUUUCAGCGGGGAGGAAGGCGGUGAGGUUAAUAACCUCAUCGAUUGACGUUACCCGCAGAAGAAGCACCGGCUAACUCCGUGCCAGCAGCCGCGGUAAUACGGAGGGUGCAAGCGUUAAUCGGAAUUACUGGGCGUAAAGCGCACGCAGGCGGUCUGUCAAGUCGGAUGUGAAAUCCCCGGGCUCAACCUGGGAACUGCAUUCGAAACUGGCAGGCUAGAGUCUUGUAGAGGGGGGUAGAGUUCCAGGUGUAGCGGUGAAAUGCGUAGAGAUCUGGAGGAAUACCGGUGGCGAAGGCGGCCCCCUGGACAAAGACUGACGCUCAGGUGCGAAAGCGUGGGGAGCAAACAGG
RNAcentral lists this ribosomal RNA (429 nucleotides) under Chloroflexota bacterium. RNAcentral's name for it is "Chloroflexi bacterium partial 16S ribosomal RNA". It matches the Rfam family "Bacterial small subunit ribosomal RNA", at positions 355 to 776 of the family's 1533-position model. Lineage: Bacteria; Bacillati; Chloroflexota. The record is from RNAcentral.